This is a long non-coding RNA of Antechinus flavipes (yellow-footed antechinus), 2871 nucleotides long. RefSeq lists it as uncharacterized. The transcript is spliced from 3 exons. The record is from RefSeq and is a predicted model, not a curated record. Lineage: Eukaryota; Metazoa; Chordata; Mammalia; Dasyuromorphia; Dasyuridae.
UUCUAAUGAGCUUGUUUAUCUGGUUUUCCAAGCCAUAUUAUGUGAGAGGCUACAAAUUAGAAGGAAAAGGAAAUGUGUUGGUGGCAGGAAUGCUGACAGCAGUGAGAAGUGACAGCCUGACAGUAAGGACGGAUAUGGAAAACUACAGAAAGGAGAAGCAAGCUUGCAAAAGUAUUCUUUCAAAGGGUAUGAUAUCCUACAAUUUGGCAUAACUAAGGCAGGAGAGACUGCCUCCUUUACAAAAGUCAAAAGGCAAUUUGGGGAUCCUCUAGAGGCUGCAGAAAAUGAAGGAAUCAUACUUUAUAGCCAUCCCUAGUGAAUGUUUGAGAAGACUUGUAUCAAAAGGCACACAAGAUGGGCAAGAAUGGAUGGCCUGUAUUCUACAUAAUCUGAGCAAACUCCUAAAUUUAUGAGAUCACAGGAAUUUUGCAAGCAGCUGGAAAAUUCUCCACAGGAGCUGACCAACACAAAGGGGAAACAAGAACUGAUAUUCUGAUGGAAUCCUAAGAGGAGAUAAAGUCAAAUUUUCAUUCCCAUAGCCUAAUUUCCCUAUUUUCCAUACACUUUCCUAAAAUAAUUGCCAUUGAACAGUCUAGUUCAGUAUUCUGCAAACUUUUUAAUAGUAUUUUAUUUUUCCAAAUACAUGUAAAGAUGGUUUUCAACAUUAGUUUCAACCCAAAACAAAGAGAAAUGACACAUUUCCUACCUGUGUGACCCAAGCAAUUGCCUCACCAAAAAAAAAAAAAAAAAAAAAAAAGCACAAAGAAUAAUGACCCAGAUUCUGAUAUUACCUAAAUAAUUCAAAUAGUACAUAUACAGUGAAUGAGUAAAAUUGCCUUCCAAACAUGAAAAACAUGCAUGAAUGUUGAACAUUAUCUUUGUAUGUUUUUUGAAAAACAAAAAGCUAUUACUAUUUUUAAAAGUUGGUAUAGUGGAUAGAGCAUCAGUUCUGAAAUCAGGAGGAUAUGAGUUCAAAUUAUCCCCUCCUUUAUCCUCUCCUCUAGAUGGCAGAUAGUCCAAUACACAUUUAUUUUUGUAAAACUUUGUGUUCCAAAUGUUUCUCCCUGCCUCCUUUACCUUCACCUUUCCAAGACAGCAAGCAAUCUGAUAGAGGUUAAAUAUGUGUAAUUCUUUUAUCCAUAUUUUCAUAUUUGUCCUGUUGUGCAAGAAAAAUUAGAUCAAAAGGGAAAGAGUUGUAGGAGAAAAAAAAAUCACCACCAAAAAAAAAAUUGCUGAAAAUAAUAUGUUUUGAUUUGCAUUCAGUCUCCAUAGUUCUUUCUCUGGAUGUGGAUGGCAUUUUCUAACCUAAUUAUUUUGGAAUUGUUUUGAAUCACUACAUUGUUGAAAAGAACUCAGUUUACCACAGCUGAUGAUCAUAUAAUUUUGUUGUUACUGUGUACAAUGAUCUCUUCUUUCUGCUCAUUUCACUCAGCAUCAAUUCAUGUAAGUUUCUCCAGGCCUCUCUGAAAUCCUUUUGUUUCUUACUGAACAAUAAUAUUCCAUAACAUUCAUAUACCACAACUUAUUCAGCCAUUCUCCAAUUGAUGGGCACCUACUCAAUUUCCAGUUCCUAACCACUACCAAAAGGGCUGCCACAAACAUUUUCGCACAAACGGGUCCCUUUCCCUCCUUUAAGAUCUCUUUGGGACAUAGACUCAAUAAAAAAACUGCUGGAUCAAAGGGUAUGCAGUUUGAAAGCCCUUUGGGCAUAGUUCCAUAUUGCCCUCCAGAAUGGUUGGAUCAGUUCACAACUGCACCAACAAUGUAAUUUUCCCCUAUCCAGAAGGGCUUUUCUAAUCGCACCUAAGUAGGUUCUGGGCAAUAGUUGGGCAAUACCUGCCCUCAGGGUCAAAUGCCUAGCUCAGGAGAAGCACAGUGCAGGGAGGAGCUGGAAUGAGGAACUAUAAGAAGAACAAACAUUGGUAUGGUGAUGUUGGAGAUAAAUCCCACAGCCCACUCUCUCAGGAAGGAUGGAACAUGAUUCCUGUUCCCUUUUUCCAUCUGAUUGACCAUAGAACACCUUGGGGCCUAGCCAUAACUAUUCUUUGUCUCAAUUUUGGUCCAAUGUUAAAACUAUCUAUAGAAACAAUCAGCUUUAGAGUCUAUCAAUUCCUGGUUGUCCAAUGUAUUUUAACAUGGAGAUUAAAGCAAAAUAAUAGAGGAAAAUAAAUGGGAAUGAAAAUGAAAAGACCAAAGUUCUGGCCAUGGUCUUAAUUCAGAUAUUUCCUAGUUGUGGUGCCGUGGUCAUGUAACUGAACCAUUCUGGGACUGGUUAUCUGUAAAAUAAGGUUAUCACCUAUAAUUUAUUUAUCUAUCCCAGAGGACUAUUAUGGGGAAAGAGCUCUGUUUCUGUUAAAGGCCUUUUUUGGUUCUUCUCAGGGAUGGGAGGAAGGAAAGGCUGGGGAAAAAAUAUACAUACAUACAAGUAUAUAUAUACAUAUAGAUACACAUCUAUCCAUUCAUAGAGAAAUAGAUAUAUCUUAUAUAUAGAAGUCUCUCCAGAUUAGCUAAUUGAUAACACAUUGUUUCCCCCAAUAAAUUCCUUGAGGUCAGGGAGAAUGUUUUUGCUUUUUUUUGUAUCUCUAGUCAUCUGCCAUAGUGUCUGGCACACAGUAGGCUCCUACUAAAUACUUAAUAAAUGACCACUAUGGUAAUGUUUUACAUUAUUGGACAUAAGCUUAUUAUCUCAUGGAAGGAAAGGUGACUUGAGAAAGGGAGAAAAUCUGGAACUCCAAAAAUAUUUUUUAAAAUAAAUGUUAAGAACUGUCUUUACAUGGGAUUAAAAAAAUAAAUAUUUGUUGACUUAUGUCUGUAAAGUUAUGUGACUAUGUGUAUAUGCAGAUGUUACAUUAAAUUUUGAUAUAUAUGAAA